GUGAGGAAUAUUGGGCAAUGGUCGGAAGACUGACCCAGCCAUGCCGCGUGCAGGAAGACGGCCCUCUGGGUUGUAAACUGCUUUUAUCUGGGAAGAAAAAGGCCAUGCGUGGCAAAUUGCCGGUACCAGAUGAAUAAGCACCGGCUAACUCCGUGCCAGCAGCCGCGGUAAUACGGAGGGUGCGAGCGUUGUCCGGAUUUAUUGGGUUUAAAGGGUGCGUAGGCGGCUGAUUAAGUCAGCGGUGAAAGACUUCGGCUUAACCGGAGCAGUGCCGUUGAUACUGGUUGGCUUGAGUGUCGGAGGGGUACAUGGAAUUGAUGGUGUAGCGGUGAAAUGCAUAGAUACCAUCAGGAACACCGAUAGCGAAGGCAUUGUACUGGCCGACAACUGACGCUGAUGCACGAAAGUGUGGGGAUCGAACAGGAUUAGAAACCCCGGUAGUCC
This 444-nucleotide ribosomal RNA is filed under the name uncultured bacterium. RNAcentral describes it as "partial 16S ribosomal RNA". It matches the Rfam family "Bacterial small subunit ribosomal RNA", at positions 354 to 796 of the family's 1533-position model. The record is from RNAcentral.